This 103-nucleotide microRNA precursor is filed under the name Marmota monax (woodchuck). The record is from RNAcentral. Lineage: Eukaryota; Metazoa; Chordata; Mammalia; Rodentia; Sciuridae.
AGUGGAAUAACUAGAUCAAAUGGUGGUUCCAUUUCAAGUUUUCUGAGGAAUCUCCAUACUACUUUCCAGAAUGGUUGCACCAGUUUGCAGUCCUACCAGCAAU